Molecule: transfer RNA, 114 nt
Filed under: Streptomyces sp. MBT97
Lineage: Bacteria; Bacillati; Actinomycetota; Actinomycetes; Kitasatosporales; Streptomycetaceae
Description: tRNA-Lys
Source: RNAcentral
AGGCCCUCUCCGACCUGGUGGUUCCGGACACCCAAGAACCGUCCGGAACCACCCAGCAAGCUUUGGCCAGGACUUUUAAUCCAUUGGUUGUGGGUUCGAGUCCCACAGGGCCUA